RNAcentral lists this long non-coding RNA (1036 nucleotides) under Cricetulus griseus (Chinese hamster). RNAcentral's name for it is "lncRNA (ENSCGRG00015034332.1)". Lineage: Eukaryota; Metazoa; Chordata; Mammalia; Rodentia; Cricetidae. The record is from RNAcentral.
UACUAAAAGAAGAGUUUGUAACGAAAUGUAUUGCUGGUUGUGCUGGGCAGGUUUUGGAGAGCUCAUUAGUGGAUUGUGGUUUCUUCUCGAAAGCGUUUGGAUUCUCUGCCAUGACUCACACUAACAGGAAGGCUGAUGAAAUAUCUCCAGCGGUAACUGGAAUGUAUUCUCUUUAUGACUUAAAGUGAGAUUCACUAACAUCAGAAUUAGAUAUGAUCACAACUGAAUAGCAGCAGAAAAGUGAAGCAUGUUUGUGGUAAAAUAAUAUUUUACCCUUUUGAGCCCUGACCCAUCUCAAGUCAGAGAAUAAUUGGACAUGCAGCACCAGUGCAGAUGGCUGGCCCUCUGAAAGGGGCCUGACUUGCUUUGAAGACAUGUUCCAUGACAAGAUACAGUCCAUUGUUUUGAGGAAGUCAGGAUGGGAAUUCCAGAAGCCAGUCACAUCACAUCUGCAAGAGCAAGCAAGAGUCAAGAGCAAGCAGAGAACCAAUGCAUCUUUACUUGCUCUAAGUGAGCUUUCUCCUUUCUCAUACUCUUCAGGACUACUGCCACACCUAAGGAAAGAUGUCACAACAAGCUGGGUCUUCCCACAUCAAGUAACCAUCAAGAUUAAUAUUUCUCAGACAUACCCACAGGCCAGCUUGUUCUACAUUGUCAACUCAAGUCAUCAGUUAAAACUAACCAGUACAAAGAAAAAUGCAAAUCAAAAUCCCAUAACACCUCAGAAAUAGCCACAAUGGUUCAGCUGUUUUAUUAGGGGGGUUGUAUUUUCUGGUCUUCACUGGAAGUUGACCAGAUAUUAAUGUGUAAUGCUCUGCUCUAGUAAUACUGCUUUUCUAACUACUUUGAAAUACAAGAUGUUCAGAUGUGGAGGCUUUCCCAUGGAAAGAGGGAAGCCCUUUUGCCCUGACAAAGGCUGCAAGACUUUUGCUCCAAUCUUUUAUUGCUUGCUUGUCUGCUUGUUUUAACGUGAUAAAAGUUGCCGUUUUAAGUAUACAAUGAACUGACAAUAUGUAGACUCACUAUGCUGUGUGAU